RNAcentral lists this long non-coding RNA (1347 nucleotides) under Rattus norvegicus (Norway rat). RNAcentral describes it as "long non-coding RNA NONRATT012900". The record is from RNAcentral. Lineage: Eukaryota; Metazoa; Chordata; Mammalia; Rodentia; Muridae.
CAGAAAGGAAAGGAUGUGGGUAACAACAAGAUGUCGUUCAGAUCGGCUGAACACGUGUCCUGAGAACAGGUGAAAGGGAAUGUCUACAAGCUCCGUGAACAUUAAGGACCCAGAAGUGCCAUCACCUGAAGUCAGACCUCAGAAAGGGUUUUAUUGCUGUGAAGAGACACCAUGACUAUGGCAACUCUUAUAAAGGAAAAGAUUUAAUUGGGGCUGGCUUAUAGUUUCAGAGGUUCAGUCCAUUAUCAUCAUAGUAGGAAGUAUGGCUGCAUGCAGGCAGACAUGGUUCCAAAGAAGGAACUGAGAGUUCUACAUCCUGAACUGAAGGCAACAGGAAAGAAACUGUGUGCCACACUGGGCAUAGCUUGAGCAUAGGAAACCUCAAAACCAGCCUCCACUGGGAUACACUUUCAACAAGGCUACACCUCCCCAUGGCCAAGCAUUCAAACGUGCUCAUAGAGGACCUGCUGCAUAGAGUUCUCCCACAGGUACAAGUGUGAUCACACGACUUGUUCAGCAUGUCCUUUGGAACUCACAUCACAGAUACUCCCUCUUGUACCUGACUUAAAUCAAGUGUAACCCUGACUUUGGUGAGAUGAAAUGAUUUCUGCAUUUCCACCGACAGAAUAUGUUGAUUGACAGCUAUGCUUCCAGCCUUGUUCGGAGAUUUGACAAAGGGAUGGAGUGGGGAUAGGGUAAACAGGAGACCAAGCAGGAAAUAACUUUAAUAGGUCACGUUUGUUGAGCAAGCACAAGGACUGAUUCACAUUUCUAAAAUCCACAUUUUGAAAGAGUUGGGUAGUGCUUCACUCUUGUAGUCUUAGCACUAUGGAGAUGGAGACAGGAAGAUGCCUGGGCCCACAGGCCAACCAGCCUAGCUUAUUUGGUAAGUUCCAGGCCAGUGAGAGACCCUGGGUCCAAAAAUGACAUGAUGACUCCUGGGGAGGAACACCUAAGUUUGUCCUCCACCUUAGAUACUUAGCACACAUGUACACAAGCGCACACACACACACAAAUAAGUUAGCAUAACUUCAGGAAUGAAUAUUUAAUCAUGUACUAUUGUCAGUUCACAUGGAAAUAGAACAUUCUUUAUGGUGGCCCUCAAGAUGACUUAUCAAGGUCAUGGACUUUGGGUGAUUAUCUAAUCUUGGUCUGUAAAAAAGAAGAAAAACGAUGUAAAAAUGGGGAGUAAAGUUUAAAAUAGUGAUUAUGCUGAAAAAAACUUGUCAUUAUUUAGCAUAUUUGUCUCUUACUUUCAAAAACUUGUCAUUUAUAUCAAACUAUGGGACCGUAAAAUGAUAAAACACAGUGCGUGACCGUCCUCGGUGAGGACCGUCCUCGGUGAGG